RNAcentral lists this ribosomal RNA (275 nucleotides) under uncultured prokaryote. RNAcentral's name for it is "partial 16S ribosomal RNA". It matches the Rfam family "Bacterial small subunit ribosomal RNA", at positions 524 to 800 of the family's 1533-position model. The record is from RNAcentral.
UACGUAGGGGCGAGCGUUAUCCGGAAUUAUUGGGCGUAAAGGGUUCGCAGGCGGCCUUGUAAGUCAGAUGUGAAAGACAGCGGCUUAACCAAUGUAAGCCUUUGAAACCGAUUAGCUUGAGUGCAGGAGGGGAAAGUGGAAUUUCUAGUGUAGCGGUGGAAUGCGUAGAUAUUAGAAGGAACACCAGUGGCGAAGGCGACUUUCUGGACUGUGACUGACGCUGAGGCACGAAAGCGUGGGUAGCGAACAGGAUUAGAUACCCCUGUAGUCCCUGA